AUGUAUAGCGAAAGCUAGUUGUGUUAACUAACAUAACAGUUAAUGCAAUAUCGACUACGUCGAAUAAAGUUCUAGGUAGAAUUUUGAUMAUGACAUUAUCUAUCUAUAUGUCUUGACUAAWUCACGUGCCAGCAGUCGCGGUAAUACGUGGAAGACUAGUGWUAUUCAUCUUUAAUAGGUUUAAAGUGUACUUAGACGGAAUGUUAAGCCCCAAGAGGGAACUAACAAUUCUAKAGUUUUAUAUGAKAGAGACAUAGUACCGAUAGAGUASAGAUGAAAUUCUGUUAUACAUCGCUGGAACUGGCGACGGCRAAAGCAGCUUUUUAUGUAAAAACUGACGUUGAASGACGAAKGCUUGAUUCACCAACWGGAUUAGUUACCCCAGCAGUUCUGGCAGACAAUGCUGAAUGCCAUAGAUUANAUUAUUCUUGUCUAUAAAUGAAAGUGUAAGCAUUCCACCUCAAGAGUAAUGCGGCAACGCAKAAACUGAAAUCAUUAGACCGUUUCUGAAACCSGUAGUGAAGUAUGUUGUUUAAUUCNAGAAUACGCGAAAAACCUUACCACAAUUUGUAUAUUUUUAUUGUUAUAUUAAUACAAGCGUUGCACGGCUGUCUUCAGUUAAUGUCGUGAGAUUUUGGUUAGUUCCAUUAAAUUAACGAAAACCCAUACUUUAUUUUUUUUUAUAAAGUAGUUCACCAUUAUAUUGGAUAUGACAAAAGGGACUAAGACAAGUCAUCAUGACCUGAAUAUUGUGGGCUAUAGAACGNGCACACAUA
RNAcentral lists this ribosomal RNA (776 nucleotides) under Schaereria fuscocinerea. Its description in RNAcentral is "SSU rRNA". It matches the Rfam family "Bacterial small subunit ribosomal RNA", at positions 359 to 1232 of the family's 1533-position model. Lineage: Eukaryota; Fungi; Ascomycota; Lecanoromycetes; Sarrameanales. The record is from RNAcentral.